AAACCAACCGGGAUUGCCUUAGUAACGGCGAGCGAAGCGGCAAAAGCUCAAAUUUGAAAUCUGGUACCUUCGGUGCCCGAGUUGUAAUUUGGAGAGGGCAACUUUGGGGCCGUUCCUUGUCUAUGUUCCUUGGAACAGGACGUCAUAGAGGGUGAGAAUCCCGUGUGGCGAGGAGUGCGGUUCUUUGUAAAGUGCCUUCGAAGAGUCGAGUUGUUUGGGAAUGCAGCUCUAAGUGGGUGGUAAAUUCCAUCUAAAGCUAAAUAUUGGCGAGAGACCGAUAGCGAACAAGUACAGUGAUGGAAAGAUGAAAAGAACUUUGAAAAGAGAGUGAAAAAGUACGUGAAAUUGUUGAAAGGGAAGGGCAUUUGAUCAGACAUGGUGUUUUGUGCCCUCUGCUCCUUGUGGGUAGGGGAAUCUCGCAUUUCACUGGGCCAGCAUCAGUUUUGGUGGCAGGAUAAAUCCAUAGGAAUGUAGCUUGCCUCGGUAAGUAUUAUAGCCUGUGGGAAUACUGCCAGCUGGGACUGAGGACUGCGACGUAAGUCAAGGAUGCUGGCAUAAUGGUUAUAUGCCGC
Molecule: ribosomal RNA, 572 nt
Filed under: Saccharomyces cerevisiae (brewer's yeast)
Lineage: Eukaryota; Fungi; Ascomycota; Saccharomycetes; Saccharomycetales; Saccharomycetaceae
Description: partial large subunit ribosomal RNA
Rfam family: Eukaryotic large subunit ribosomal RNA
Source: RNAcentral